CCGAAGGGCUGUCAGGCACUCAAAUGGCCAGGAGGAACAGUGUACAGGUGAGGAACAGGGUGGAAGGUCCAGAGUGAGUGGAGAGCCACAGCUGGUCCAAACAUCAGCAGGCCCAUACAUCAGGGGUCCAUACAUCAACCAGUCCAUAUAUCAGGUCGGGGGUAGAGGCAUACAUCAGCAUGUUCACCCAUUAGCUGGUCUAUACAUCAGGGGUCUAUACAUCAGCUGCCCCAUACAUCAGUUAGUCCAUACCUAAGUGGGUGCAUACAUUAGCUGGUCCAUACAUCAGGGGGUCCAUACAUCAACCAGUCCAUAUAUCAGGUUGGGAGAGAGGCAUACAUCAGGAUGUUCACACAUCAGCUGGUCUAUACAUUGGGGUCUAUACAUCAGCUGGCCCAUAUAUCUGUUAGUGCAUACCUGAGUGGGUGCAUACAUCAGCUGGUCCAUACAUCAGUGCGUCCAUAUGUCAACUGGCCUAUACAUCAGCGGGUCCAUACAUCAGCUGUCCUAUACAUCAGGGAGUCCAUACAUCAGCUAGUCCAUAUAUCGGGGAGGGCAUACAUCAGGAGGUUCACACAUCAGCUGGUCCAUACAUCAGGGGUCCAUACACCAACAGGUCCAUACAUUAGCCGGUCCAUACACCAGCUGGUCCACACAUCAGCUGGUCUAUACAUCAGCUGGCUCAUAUAUCAGGGAGUCCAUACAUCAUCUGGUCCAUGCAUCAGUGAGCCAAUACAUCAAUGAGUCCAUACAUCAGCUGGUCUAUACAUCAGCUGGCCCAUACCUCAGGGGUCCAUACAUCAGGAGGUUCACACAUCAGCUGGACCAUACAUCAAUGGUCCAUACAUCAGCAGGUCCAUACAUCAGCGGGUCCAUACAUCAGCUGCACACAUCAGCUGGUCUAUACAUCAGCGGGGAGUCUAUACAUCAUCUGGUCGAUACAUAAGUGAGUCCAUACAUCCAUGGGUUUAUACAUCAAUUGGUCCAUAUAUUGGGGGGUCAUAUAUCAGGAGCUUCACACAUCAGUGGUCCAUACAUACAUCAGGGGUCCAUAUAUCAGCUGGCCCAUAUAUCAGGGGGUCCAUACAUGAGCUGGUCCAUACACAGGGGGGUCUACAUAUCAGCUGGUCCAUAUAUCAACUGGUCCAUACAUCUGCUGGUCUCUAGAUCAGCUAGUUCAUAAACCAGGGGGUCCACACAUCAGCUGGUCCAUACAUCAGGUGGUUCAUACAUCAGCAGGUCCAUACAUCAAGGGGCCCAUAUAUCAAGAAGUCCAUAUAUCAGGGAGUCCAUACAUCGGGGGCCUAUACCAUAUUAUUUAUCCUCCCCACAUCCCGCCGAUGCUGCCAUGGCAAAUCAUAGUAUCCUUCCACCAUCCACCCAACCCUUGGAUUGUGGGGAUGGAGGCUGGAGCAGCAAAACAAUUAUUUGGAUAAUCAAGGUUUGAGAUAGUGAGAACCAGAACUCAGAAGCCACAAGGAGAGCAGAGUGACAGGGACAGACAGGAGAGAGACACGGAAGGAAAAAAAAGCAACAAGAUUGGGUGACUGGCUGGUUGAAACAACAGGGGCUUGAGCUGAAGACAGGGCCACAGGCAUCCAUCAAAGAUAACUUCAAGUUUUGAACUUGGAAGUCUGGGGAAAUGGUGGCACCAUUAACUAGAUAGGGACAUUAGGAGUAGGAAAAAGGGAAGGCUUGCUUUCUAUUUGAGAAGAAAACAAGAGAGUGAAAGGUCCUUAAUGAACCAAGCCUAGACAUGCAUUUCAGAGAGUCUGUGAUGAUGCCCCUGGUACAGGCAGCCUCAAGAAUCUACUGUGGCUUCUUUGUCCCAUCAAGGCCAAUUCCGCUCCGCCAAUCGUAGUCUCCCUGCUUGGUUGAGAAGUGGACAGAAUGGCCUCAAUGCACACAGACAGAUUAUCAAGAUAACCAAGCAUGGGGGCUGGGGAGGGGCAGCCUGAGGACGAGGGAAGAUGCUGGGUGCCAGGGCGUGCAGCGGAGAGCAGCUCUGUGGCCCUCUGUCUCCAACUCAGGCUCCCGUUGUUUCAACCAGCAAGUUGGGCCAAGGACUCCAAGCUCCACCUCCUACAGAUUCAGGACAGAGAAAAGUCUACUCUUUAAAUGUUCACUGUGCAACAUACUUACAAAAACUUGCCAAAAGCAUGUGAGAGCUACUUUUUCCUUUUUUUUUUUUUUAAUCUUGAGCACGUAGAAGGGGCCCUUAUAUUUCACAGGGAUUUUCUCUUCCAUGGGUGUGUAGGCUGAAAUGUAAGUUUACGAAGAAGGCAUUUGUUAGCUAGGCUGGAGAAUUCUGACUUAAAGAAGAAGCAUGUAGUGGCUGAAAUCUCCUCCCACGGACUUAGUGAAAACUCUAGUGAGGGGAUGAUCACUGCCAUCAUUUCUUUCUGGCUUUGGAUACUGCCAGGCUGCUCAUGUGUGACAACUAAAUGUUGGGAUAUCUUCAAUGAAUGAACAAUGAACAAUGAACGAUGGGAUAUCUUCUCCUUAUAAGCCCCUCACUCUGAGUGUGUACUGUGGUUCUGUUCCUGCAAUCUUUCUGAUAAAAUUCUCGUCGCCCCAUUGCAAAGCAGUGUUCCCAAACUCAAGGCUAUGUGGAUGCCUAUCCCUCUGCAAUUCUGAGCUUGAAUAAAGAGAAAGCCUUGGAGAGCCAAGUUCACUUUCCUGACACCAUGACAACCACCCCUGAUAACGCCAUCACUCUUUUUUUUUUUUUUAAUAUGGAGUUUCGCUCUUGUCACCCAGGUUGGAGCAUAAUGGCAUGAUCUCAGCUCACUGCAACCUCCACCUCCCAG
Molecule: long non-coding RNA, 2810 nt
Filed under: Homo sapiens (human)
Lineage: Eukaryota; Metazoa; Chordata; Mammalia; Primates; Hominidae
Description: HSALNT0160748
Source: RNAcentral